This 765-nucleotide ribosomal RNA is filed under the name uncultured Streptococcus sp. Its description in RNAcentral is "bacterial SSU rRNA". It matches the Rfam family "Bacterial small subunit ribosomal RNA", at positions 28 to 776 of the family's 1533-position model. Lineage: Bacteria; Bacillati; Bacillota; Bacilli; Lactobacillales; Streptococcaceae. The record is from RNAcentral.
GACGAACGCUGGCGGCGUGCCUAAUACAUGCAAGUAGAACGCUGAAGAGAGGAGCUUGCUCUUCUUGGAAGAGUUGCGAACGGGUGAGUAACGCGUAGGUAACCUGCCUUGUAGCGGGGGAUAACUAUUGGAAACGAUAGCUAAUACCGCAUAACAAUGGGUGACCCAUGUCAUUCAUUUGAAAGGGGCAACUGCUCCACUACAAGAUGGACCUGCGUUGUAUUAGCUAGUAGGUGAGGUAACGGCUCACCUAGGCGACGAUACAUAGCCGACCUGAGAGGGUGAUCGGCCACACUGGGACUGAGACACGGCCCAGACUCCUACGGGAGGCAGCAGUAGGGAAUCUUCGGCAAUGGGGGGAACCCUGACCGAGCAACGCCGCGUGAGUGAAGAAGGUUUUCGGAUCGUAAAGCUCUGUUGUAAGAGAAGAACGAGUGUGAGAGUGGAAAGUUCACACUGUGACGGUAUCUUACCAGAAAGGGACGGCUAACUACGUGCCAGCAGCCGCGGUAAUACGUAGGUCCCGAGCGUUGUCCGGAUUUAUUGGGCGUAAAGCGAGCGCAGGCGGUUAGAUAAGUCUGAAGUUAAAGGCUGUGGCUUAACCAUAGUACGCUUUGGAAACUGUUUAACUUGAGUGCAAGAGGGGAGAGUGGAAUUCCAUGUGUAGCGGUGAAAUGCGUAGAUAUAUGGAGGAACACCGGUGGCGAAAGCGGCUCUCUGGCUUGUAACUGACGCUGAGGCUCGAAAGCGUGGGGAGCAAACAGG